AACGCAUAUUGCGCUCGAGGCUUCGGCCAAGAGCAUGUCUGCCUCAGCGUCGCUUUAAUCCCUCACCCUCUCUCCCCUAGUGGGUUGGAGCGAGUGGACCUGGCUUUCCCAGUGUGUUCAUUCACGCUGGGUUUGCUGAAGUGCAGAGGUUGAUGCAUGGACCCGUUAAUGGGCCUCAGCUGGGUAGGCAACUUGUUGCUGAUGCUUUAGCUGUUGGCUUGGGACUGUGCUUGUCAACCCAAACCAGGAAAGGAGCUUGCUCCUUACACUUCAAAAUUCGACCUGAGCUCAGGCAAGAACACCCGCUGAACUUAA
This 315-nucleotide unclassified non-coding RNA is filed under the name uncultured fungus. RNAcentral's name for it is "partial contains 5.8S rRNA and ITS2". Lineage: Eukaryota; Fungi. The record is from RNAcentral.